Non-coding RNA from Xyrichtys novacula (pearly razorfish), 2989 nucleotides. The record is from the annotation of a GenBank genome assembly. NCBI's taxonomy places the organism in Eukaryota, Metazoa, Chordata, Actinopteri, Labriformes, Labridae.
GAGGAGGAGGAGGAAGAGGAGGAGGGGAGUGGGGGGAUAGAGGUGCCGCCCUAUCAGAGUGUGCUUCAGUGCCUCCAGCUCCCUCUUGAUUGCCUGACAUUCUUUAUCAACAGUCAAGUAAUUCUGUUCCCUUGGCAACAGUUUCCUGCUGAUACAAAGAAUCAGGUAUCACCUUGAAAGUUUAAGAGUGUGGUUGGCAGCUUUGGUGUUUUCAUUUGCGUGCAGCAGCAACAUCAUUUUCAGGAGGGAACUGGGGUUUGGUUGAAAGCUUUAAGCUUUUAUUUUCAUCCCUGUCCACCUGCAGCGGCCUACACUCAGGUCAUGGCACCCUUCUAUUAAUUCCUCUUUACCUCUCUGGCCAGUGACUGCAAAGGUUACCACACAGUUUAACCACAGAGAUAGAUCUGAUCUCUCUCACAGCACCGCCUGGGUCUGAAUUACUAUCUUAUAAUGCAACUUGAAUUUAAUUCCCAUUUCAUAGGGCUUAGGAGGCUGUGAGAUUAGCAGCCUGGAUGUAAUAUUUUAGAAAGCUUUUUGUUUUGUUUUGACCUUCUGGGGAUUGUGAAGGCAGAUCACAAAAUGUUAUUCAAAUGAUGCUUUUGACUCCCAGACUGGCACUGACAUGCAUCAGCGCCGACUUGAAUGGAACAUAGAUAUAUUCACUCGGGCUGCACGACAUCAGGCUGUGCGGUUUCCUGAAAUAUUUCCCUUCACUUAUAUUUCAUCUCCGUCUCUCUGCCUCAGAGUAUAUUUCAUGUUCUGCCUACAGUCUGGCCGGGAAAUAAGCAGUUGCACCUGUAACCUGCAGUUUUCUUGAGCACAUCGAGUAACUGCAGCAAAUUAAAAGUCUACGACUGUUUGUUGAGUUUUUUCAUAAUAGAAAAAUACAAACUUUGGCUCAAAACUUUUGGAGAUUCAGCGCAGAAAAGAGCUGACUUGCAUGUGCCUGAACAUCAUUUUCUGGAAGUGCUGUAUGCAAUAACCAAUUUUUUAACUUAUGAAUAAACAUCAGACCAAACAAGCUGUGCGGUGUGUGUAGUCGGCUUUUGGACUGGUAAACUCAGAGUAAUCCUUGCAUUAGAGAACUCUUUAAUACCACAGCAUUAUCAACUUCUAACUUUGGUAUAACUCUAGAAGUAGGGCUGGGCGAUAAAAUGAUAAUGAUAGAUUAAUUAAUUUCCCUCGAUAUCAGGAUAAAACAUGGUCAAUAUGCUUUUCAAUAGUUGGCAUUCUGCCACGUUUUGGUUGCUCCAAGUCUGCGCCGCGCCGAACCAAUCAUGUGCUGAAUUAGAACAAAGUAGCAAACAACUGCGUAGUUGUAGGCUACGGCUACACGCAACCAUAGCACGGUAAGAAAAAAAGAAAAUGAGAGCUACCCCCGGCAGAAAUGCAGAUGAUGACAUCGUCAACAACACUGGCACAAAAACGUUGGUGGUGUGGAGAUAUCUUCGUCUCUUGAGGUCGGACAUAAAGCAGAGUAAUGUGCACUGCGAAUCAAGUCAAGUACAUGUUCUCGCAAAGUCUGGGAAUACGUAAAAUCUUUUUCGCCACCUGAAGCAGUGCUACCCAGCAGAGCACGCGCAAUGCAAAAGGUUACAAACCCCGAGCAAAGCAAGUGCGAAGCAGCCCACAGCACCUGUGCAGCUGAAACAGCCGACCAUUCAGUCCGCUUUAUCUAGCGCAACGCCUUACGACAAAACAUUAAGGAGACACAAAGACCUCACAGAUGCAGUAGAUUAUUGUAUUUUAAAAGACAUGCUACCAAUAAGCACUGUUUUAUUAAAUAUAAAAGUAAAAGGAUUCAUUUAAGAUUGACAAGUGAUUUUUUUUUUCUAUCAUGAUAUAAAUCGAUAUCGAUUGAUAUCAAAAAUACAUAUUGUGAUGAACUUUUUCCCAUAUCGCCCAGCCCUACCUAGAAGAAAACGACGAUUAGAGCAUACAUUUUGAUAUAACACUAUGAUCAUACACUCUGACAUAUUGCUUAGUUCAGAUCAGCAUAAUCUUUAGUGUUAACCUCAGCCUUACUGUGAGAUAGUGUCCUUAGAAAAGGGUCAAAUCAAUACUUUUCAAUAUAUUACACAGACAAGCUGAAACAAAUCAAACGAAACAAAACAACCAUGCUGUCAGCUUCACGGGAAAUAUUACUGCAUUUUAUUCACAAGAGCUAUGUAAAGUCUUUUAACAGCAGGGUGUCAAAGACUUUAGUCGUCUUAUGUUUGUGAAUGAAUCACUCUGACAGAUCGCACAAUCGGGGAUAUGAAACAUGUCAUUUUUAGCGUGGGCUUCAGUUAGAUACUUUUACAACGUUUCCACAUUUUCCUCUAAUUUUAGACCAAGUUUGGCACGAAUACUACGUUUUCAAAUGUAUGAGACGCUGUGGUGCAUUUGACUAUGGCUUUGUUCCUUCAUGCAUACCUCCAUCGGAGUUCUCAUGUCAAAGGUUAACAUGUACCAAAUAGUACAGGGGAAAGAUAAACAGGCGAAAGCAAAGGAAAGGUUUCAACAUCCGAUCUGGCUCACAUGGCCAGCUGAUCCUCAUGGGUCAAAGGCUUUAUAAAGUUCUGUGUUAAGGCUGCUCUCCAGGUGCACUCAUGUGCACACAGAGUGAGCAAAAGGAAAAGUCUGUAGGAACUGUCAAAAUAUUGAAAAUGUAGGGAGACACACGGCUGUAAUUUUUAGUACCGUGGGCUUUUGCAGGCUAGAGCUGGACAGUAAUGUUUUCUUUAUAAAUAACCCGACACAGAAGGAGAAGAGAAAAUAUGUAUUCUUUGUCCACUGAUGUUCCCCAUAAAUGCAAUUGCACACUACUGCCAACCUUUUUAAAUGACUACUCUCAGCUACAACAACAGCAACAAAGCGAAAUUCACUGCUGCCUCCAUGAAAGCAACUCAGUAACAUAAUGGAAUUUCUGACUGGUUUUUCACACACUGUCAUAUGAAAAUUGUUCAAAUGUACGUGGAGUAAAAAGGAGAUUCAAAGCAAUGUCAGC